CCUACGGGGGGCAGCAGUGAGGGAUAUUGGUCAAUGGGGGAAACCCUGAACCAGCAACGCCGCGUGAGGGAAGACGGCUUUCGGAUUGUAAACCUCUGUUCUCUGGGAAGAUAAUGACGGUAGCAGAGGAGGAAGCUCCGGCUAACUACGUGCCAGCAGCCGCGGUAAUACGUAGGGAGCAAGCGUUAUCCGGAUUUACUGGGUGUAAAGGGUGCGUAGGCGGCCCUGCAAGUGAGAAGUGAAAUGCAUGGGCUUAACCCGUGAACUGCUUGUGAAACUGUCGGGCUUGAGUGACGUAGAGGCAUGCGGAAUUCCCGGUGUAGCGGUGAAAUGCGUAGAGAUCGGGAGGAACACCAGUGGCGAAGGCAGCCUACUGCGCUUUAACUGACGCUGAAGCACGAAAGCGUGGGUAGCAAACAGGAUUAGAUACCCUAGUAGUC
RNAcentral lists this ribosomal RNA (440 nucleotides) under uncultured bacterium. RNAcentral describes it as "partial 16S ribosomal RNA". It matches the Rfam family "Bacterial small subunit ribosomal RNA", at positions 338 to 795 of the family's 1533-position model. The record is from RNAcentral.